UACAGAGGUCUCAAGCGUUGUUCGGAUUCAUUGGGCGUAAAGGGCGCGUAGGCGGCGGGGUAAGUCGGGUGUGAAACCUCAGAGCUCAACUCUGAAACUGCACUCGAUACUGCUCUGCUUGAGGACUGGAGAGGAGACUGGAAUUCACGGUGUAGCAGUGAAAUGCGUAGAUAUCGUGAGGAAGACCAGUGGCGAAGGCGGGUCUCUGGACAGUUCCUGACGCUGAGGCGCGAAGGCCAGGGGAGCAAACGGG
Molecule: ribosomal RNA, 253 nt
Filed under: uncultured bacterium
Lineage: Bacteria
Description: partial 16S ribosomal RNA
Rfam family: Bacterial small subunit ribosomal RNA
Source: RNAcentral